UAAAAUGAACUAAAUUUUAGGUUCAAUUUCGAUUUGAAAUUUUGAUUUUUAAUAAUCCAUUUUAU
This 65-nucleotide transfer RNA is filed under the name Trichogramma japonicum. RNAcentral describes it as "tRNA-Arg". The record is from RNAcentral. Lineage: Eukaryota; Metazoa; Arthropoda; Insecta; Hymenoptera; Trichogrammatidae.